UUAGUCCCUAUCUGCCGUGGGCGUUGGAGAUUUGAGAGGAGCUGCUCCUAGUACGAGAAGGCCGGAGUGGACGAUCCUCUGGUGUUCCGGUUGUCACGCCAGUGGCAUUGC
Molecule: ribosomal RNA, 111 nt
Filed under: Sphingomonadaceae bacterium
Lineage: Bacteria; Pseudomonadati; Pseudomonadota; Alphaproteobacteria; Sphingomonadales; Sphingomonadaceae
Description: partial 23S ribosomal RNA
Rfam family: Bacterial large subunit ribosomal RNA
Source: RNAcentral